This 305-nucleotide ribosomal RNA is filed under the name uncultured bacterium. RNAcentral describes it as "bacterial SSU rRNA". It matches the Rfam family "Bacterial small subunit ribosomal RNA", at positions 333 to 656 of the family's 1533-position model. The record is from RNAcentral.
UCAUGCCUACGGGGCGCAGCAGUGGGGAAUAUUGCACAAUGGGGGAAACCCUGAUGCAGCGACGCCGCGUGAGUGAAGAAGUAUUUCGGUAUGUAAAGCUCUAUCAGCAGGGAAGAUAAUGACGGUACCUGACUAAGAAGCCCCGGCUAACUACGUGCCAGCAGCCGCGGUAAUACGUAGGGGGCAAGCGUUAUCCGGAUUUAUUGGGUUUAAAGGGUGCGUAGGCGGUCCGUUAAGUCAGCGGUAAAAUUGCGGGGCUCAACCCCGUCGAGCCGUUGAAACUGGCAGACUUGAGUUGGCGAGAA